GAGCAAGGGAGUGCUCGGGAAAUGGAAACAAUGAAUGAAUCAAUCAGUCAAUCAGACAACAGGGUUAACAAUUUCCAGAGACAGCCCGUACAUAGAAGGAAUGUUUACUGAAAAAAAUGAAGAGGGGUCAGGGCAAGGCGAGGAGCAAGAAGCACCCCCAAGGAAACAGAGAAGACCAGUACAACUGUACCUCUUUGCCAGCUGCACCAUCCGUACCAGGUGGCACGUUCCAGAGCCAUAGCCUCUGUUCUAUUCAUCUCCAGUCUCCUGGGGUGGAAGUGUCCAGCACAGAGACUGCCACACUGCAAGACGAAGGGGCUGGACACACGGAAGAGAGAGGCGGAACCCUGCACCCCCUCAACCUCAGCCCUACUGAGUCUCCAAUGGGGCCACGCUUCUGAGUGCACCUCCCCGUGUCAUCUGUAAUGUGAGGGGGAACCAGGCUUGAUAUGGCAUUCCCAAUCCAGGGCCUCUGGACCCCUUGAGAUGCAUAAAAAUAGUGAUGGGGGCCUGAGAGUUCUUUUUUUUUUUUUUUUUUUUUGGUCAUGAACUAUUUUUAACAUUUCCGAAAGCCUCCUGGAAAUUAUUAUGCAGCCAGCCACAACAGGGCUGCAACAAAAUGCCAGUAUCUUCGCUUUUCUCUGGAGUCCCAUCAGCUCAGUGCCGUCACACUGAUCAAAGGCACUGCCUGGCAGUCAUCUAUGUUAGUGAUGAGUAAAGUAGACAGG
Molecule: long non-coding RNA, 728 nt
Filed under: Homo sapiens (human)
Lineage: Eukaryota; Metazoa; Chordata; Mammalia; Primates; Hominidae
Description: PEF1 and COL16A1 antisense RNA 1
Source: RNAcentral